UUUGAGCUAGACGUUCACAUUAGUCACUAAUUUACACAUUGUCUUACCGUUAAGAAGACAUGGGCCCUGUCUUCGUUAAUCUUGCAAGGUUAUUAAGCACACUCCCAUUACUAGUCUCUGCUAUUCUAUUUUUGGCAUCUCUUUUUCGUCUGUUUUAACAUCUUCUCUACAACUUCUUUUCUUUUCUAUUCUACCCAAAUUUAGACGAAGCCUCUCUUCAACAGCACAUCACAGCAUUUCCACACAAGUACAAGUACUUUUACACAGUACAGCCAAACAGCUGAACACAACAGCUCCAACAACUAAACCAGCAGCACUUUAUGUGAGUAAAACACUCACCUGGCGCCAAUGUGGUGCAGGAAUAGAUGCGCUGAAGCUGCCGUGAUCCUCUGAAGGCUGUUGCUGAUCCUGUUCGUGACGCCAAUUUGUUGUGUCUGGGCUGUCCUCGAUGUGUAGAUGCAGAAGGAGGCUUCGUGACACUGGCUUGCUUGUAUAAGAGGAGUUUAUUAUAAAGACAAAACCAGUAUCAAUACAGCACUGCAGUUGCUGGGAGAGGACGGCCAAUGAUGUCCAGCUCUCCCAAACCAGAGUUUGUGACCCUGUUAUUUACAGUUAGGGAUGUAAGCCCUCCUACAUUCCCAAAUUAUGUUUCCUUACCAUCUUGUGUUUGGUAAACCUAGAGUGGUGUUUUAUGACCUGUGGCCUGUGACCAGUGAAGUGCCCCUCCCAGGCUAUCUCACCCCAGGUAUCACUAAUAAUAAACAGAUAAACACAAGCCCACAGUCCACAACUGGUUUCUCAGGCUAUUCCUGAGAAAUACCUUAUGGCAAUGCAUAGUGAUGUAGUACUCCAGAUACCACACUGGCCUUGUUGUCCACCAUUAUAACAUGCUUCUGAAAAUGAUUGGACGUUUGGAUUACAGUUUCUUUCUCCACUGCUUCCACUCCAUUGCUGCCACUGACCCAAGGCUAGUUGUGCAGAUGGAACCAUAGGAGCGACUGGCAUCUGCUGGGGUGGUUGGCACUGAAUCUGUUCUUGCUGUUGUUGCACUUUCGCUUGAUCUGGUUGAGAUUGACUUUGCAUAACUAAAGCUUGCUUCUUCUCCUUCUUUUUGCUAUCUCCAAGCUGUAUUUGGUUAAGUUGUCUCAGAGUCUCUUGAUCUUGCUCUCUCUGCUCAUUCUCUUUCUUACUGUACAGCUCCACUUGAUAUGCUAUAUGGUCUGUGUAUACCCCUUUUGUCAUACUACCAAGACCAACCACCUCUGCUAAUUUACUUCUCACUGGCUGGGGCAACCCUUUCUGUAUUUUAGCUUGCAAAAUGGACUGCUCCAUUUGGUGCAUAAGAUAGCUCGUGGCUUUAGCUUCCUUUUAAUAACUUUUCUAGCGUCAAAUGUACACUUUGGUUUCCAUUCAGUUUAUCUUGACGAUCCCUGGUUCUUCCAUUUCGUUGUACUUUCUUUCAGUUUUCUCAUUGAAAUUGUAGUGAUAGUACGUAGUCAUGUAAGCCAAAGUCUGCCCGCAUCAAAGACUUUGGCAGAUGAAAUGUAUCUAUGCCACAAUUUCAGAGCCGUUUUUGUGAAAUGGCUAUGUUAUGCGCAGUGGACCAACGUAGGUAUUUCACGUUUUUGAGUGAGACUGCAUUGCCUGCACCGACACACCUGCAGCUCAUCACCAGCAAUCAGCGGCUCCACUUAAACUCUGCCUGGAUGUCUCUCAGUGCCAGAUUAUUCCCACACCUUCUGUGGUAUCUCGGCCAGUUUGACUGUCACUAUUCAGAAAUUAUCUCUUCUUAACUAGUGCCACAACUCGCUCUCUGGAUCCCUCACCUGCCUCACAGCUAAACUCAGGCCCGGACUACACGUAUAUAGAUAUUUAUUUAGCAGGAUAUUUUUGUACUCCCGUCUAAAUAAAUGUAUCUGUCCACACGUGUUAGUUCUCAAAAAUAUCUGCGUCCACACGUAGCCUUCAAACUCAAUCCUAUCUGGUGCCGCUUAAAAAAAAUUCAGGAACAAAGCUACCUGAUUGGCCGAUGAAUCGUAACAGCGUGAUGCGUCAUGCAUUGUUUGCGGAAGCUACGCUAGUGCCUCAGGUCCAUGUGACGGAUCAUGUGACCAAUAAAGUAUUGGCCGCAGCAGACGCAUCUGUGAGCUGGCUGACUGGUGGAUGUAAUUGUAUAAAACAAGGUUCACUUGCAAGGCUGAAAUUAGCCCCAAAAGGGCAAAACAAACGUAAAGAAUACCCUGUAUGUCCGCCAUCGUUGUUGUUGUUUUUCUUUUUAAUUCGCAUGCACAAGCUGCGGUUUGACGUCAUCGAUCCGUAAAAGUUCAACCACACGAAUCUACUUGUACGGAUAUUUUUUUAUUUCUCCACUUGUUUUUUCGGAUUCAGAUUUAUCCGGUUUGGGUGUUCCAAACUCCCGUUUUGGUGUGGUAGGGAGGCCUAAUCAGACAAAAAUAUGUGCGGUUUGAAAUAAAUCCGCAUUCGUGUAGUUGGGGCCUCACUCAUCGUCACCCCACCAGAACUCCUGCAUUGGAUCUAGGAUCUCCAUUCCCCUUAUCACCUGCUCCUUUAACCCAUUAAGACCUGAACCCUGUCUGAGACACGCCUCUGAAAUCCUGAGGGCAGUUUUGAGAAGGGCCCCCAGAUCCUGAGGUCUUCUGAAGUGUUGAGGUUUACAAAAAGCUGAUAUCUCGGCCUCUGUAGCAGAUAGAAACAAAAUUCUAUGCUAUUUGAGAGUUUACACAUGUGGCUUUCAAAAUAGCUAUCUUUUAUUUUUCACCUUCAUUACAUUAUUGAAAACUUUGAACAAACAAACUCUAAUGAAAUACAGCAGCUGUAUAAAUAAAAGUAAAGGCUCUGCACUGGAGAAUAACAAACUAUUUGAUUUCUGUAAAACAAGUGGCAGUCACGAUAAAGUGUUUAUUCAAUACAAAUAUAAAAAUAAGGUGUUGAAAAGGUAUUCAGCUGCCCUGGUAUAGGGCCAGUACAAGAGCAGCACUAAAAAAUAAAAAAAUAAAUUAAUAAAUGGCUGACAGUCUGUUCAUCUCUUUGCUCACCCAAAGUCAUGCAACACUUAUAGAAAUCGCUGAUAGUGUGAGCCAAGGCACUCAAUAUGAAGAGGGUGAUUACACUGCUGGAUGCUUCUCCUCUGAAGCUGCUCUCUGCCUCCGUCAUUGUUUACUUUCCUCAUGAAGCACGUAGCAAGAUCCAAGCAUGAAUCCAAUUGCUUUAUUAGCCUAUCAGAGGCAGAUGGGUAUGAUGGUUUGAUUCACCACGACUCCAGAAAUGAUUGAAAAACUACAGAAUGUUACAAAAUGACGUAUUUAUGUUCCCGGCUUUAAAGCAGAAAUGUGCAGCGGCGCCGUUGGUUUGGAAGGUCGAAAUGCGUACAUGCUUCUCCCGGCUUGAAGGGUUGAAAUAUCUACAUGCACCCGGCUUUCCAGUAGAAAUGCGCAGCUGCGCUCCCAGCUUGGAAGGUUGAAAUACGUACAGGCUGUCCCAGUUUAAAUGGGUUAAAUAAUUGUACACUCCCUGCCUCCAGUCUGCUUCUGAGUCCUAUUUAAUACAUUAUGGGAAACUGUAACAGAAUAAUCUGGCCUACAUGGACUCACUCCUUUAGCCCUCUCCUUUAAAAGCACACUUCUCAGACGUCAUGAACAAAUGCCCCCCCCCCCCAACUUCAGCCCUCAAGCUAUCCUAAUAAUAAAGCAAAAAUUGCUUACUUGAUAAAUGGUUUACUUCAAGGUGGAGCUGUCAAUUAGGCUACAGCACACUGGAAAAAUUGUCUUCAUUUGAGUUAUUCUGUAGAGAGCUGAGUAAAGUUUUUUGAUCACCCAGUUAAGGAUCAAGAGGCAGCUGAGAGGCUGUUAACUUUAGUCCAGGGGUCUAAAUCUGGCCUCAUACUCUAUUGAUUUUCGUAUCCUUGCAAAUGAGUGUGGUUGGGAUGAGGCAGCUCACCAGGGGAUUGUCCUUGAGGGGUUAUCUGAGCAAAUUGAGCAAAGAUGAGUUAGCUUCUAGAGAUGAAGCUUCCUCUCGAGGAGUAAUUUUUUUAUCUAUUAAGAUAGAUAACUGACUCAGGGAGAGAGAGAGAGAGAGAGUUAGAGAGAGAAAGAGAUCUGUCAGGCCUAAUAGAUGUAACCUGGCUGGGCCAUCCUGUUGCAUGAAUCACUUGCCGUUCCUUCCCACAACAGUCUGGACUUCAGUCCAUUGGGAGUGUGUAUCCCCGAUCAGAAAAUAACCGGGCCAAUCAGAGACCGUGUUUCCACUGUUACCCGCACAACAGGGAAAGGCAGCCCCUGAUUGGUCCAUGUGUAGAUGGUGACGUCUAACACAUGCUGCGGGACUUUUCAAAGCUCCGUUCAUUCAGAACACCGUAAAUUCUGCAGUUGACUUUGCAAAGUCGGCAGAAAUCGUUUAUAUCCGACGUCUUCUGCAGAUAUAAACGAUUUCUGCCGACUUUGCAUAGUCAACUGCAGAAGUUUUCCAGACCCUCAUGAAUGACAUCCUCAGGGACAUGCUCAAUGGAUUCGUUUUCGUCUACCUAAACAACAUCUUCCUUUCCUUCCGCUCCCUAGAGGAACACCGUAAACACAUCUGCCUGGUCCUACAACGCAUUCCUCGAGAACCACCUCUUAGUCAAACUGGAGAAAUGUAAGUUUCAUGCCCCCUUAGUUAACUUCCUAACAUUCCUUGACAUUGCCUGUGGACAACUCAAACCGGACCCCUCCAAGAUCCAAGCAGUUACUGAUUGGCCCAUACCCACCACCUCCAAGAAUCUUCAAUGCUUCCUCGGCUUAGCCAAUUUCAACUGGCGCUUCAUCAGAGAUUACAGUAAGGUAGCCAACCACCUAACCCGCCUCACCUCCACCAGCUUCCCCUUCCUGUGGACUCCAGAAGCAGACAGGGCAUUCACCAAACUCAAGUCUCUGUUCACUAGCGCCCCUGUUCUCUGACCCAAGUCUCCAGUUCAUGGUAGAGGUGGAUGCCUCUGAUACAGGAGUAGGAGCUGUCCUCUCCCAGUGAAGCCCCCUCACCAACAAGUUCCAUCCAUGUGCCUUUUUCUCACCUCCCCUGGAUUGAGCAUGCACACAACUCCUUCAUCAGCUCUGCUACAGGUAUGUCCCUUUCAUGGUUUGCUACAGUUUCCAACCCCCUUUGUUUCCUGAACACAAACUUGAGGUGGCAGUUCCUUCGGUGAAGUAGCACUUGAGGCGGAUUUGGGGUGUGUGGAAGGAGGCGGGCAUUGCUCUCAUCCACUCGGCUGAAAGGAUCAAGCAGCUGGCUGACCACCAUUGCUCCCCCGCUCUGGAGUACAAACUGGGACAGAUGGUGUGGCUCUCCUUCUGUGACCUCCCCCCUUCAAGUGGAUUCAUGUAAGCUUUCCCCCCACUUCAUUGGACCAUUUCCUGUUAUUAAAAUCAUUAAUCCUACAUCUGUCAAACUCAAGCUCCCUGACUUCCUCAAGAUCCAUCAUGUCUUCCAUGUGUCCCUCCUCAAGCCUGUCUAUUCCAGCAACCUUAGCCCUCCAGCCGUUCCCCCUCUACCCCCCUGGAUCAUUGACAACCACCAAGCUUUCUGUGUCCAGGAUUUUGGACGUUAGGCCCCAGUGACGGGGGUUCCAGUUCUUAGUGGACUGGAAGGGCUAUGGCCCGGAGGAGAGAUACUGGAUUUCUCGUAAGCUCAUUUUGGACAACAUCCUUAUCAGGGACUUUUACUCUGAGCAUCCUGACAAGCCAGGAAGGAUGCCAGGAGGCGUCUAUUGAGAAGGAGGUACUGUCAUGAUUACACACUGUUUUGGACAUUUGGUGGCAUUAGUGAGUGAGUUUGUAGUUUGUAGAGUUUUCUUACCCCCUUUUUACCUCCACAGAAGUUGGGUGGCUCCUCCUGCACCAACACACCUGCAGCUCACAGUAGUGUGGCGCCGCUCGAGGUGGCAGCCUGUUACAGCAGUGUUUACACCUGUGUUUGAUAUUUUUUGUAUCUUUUUCGCUUUCAUUUCUGUCCUGACACAUGUGUUUUCACCAGUUAGUGUCUAACUACUGGAUACACCGACUUUUGUCUUUUUUUAAACUUUUCUGGCCAUUUUUCUGGACACUUUUUGGCACUUUAGUACUCAUGGCAAGGGAGGUUCACAGACACGACAGUGAGGGCUUUGUUUACAUGCACGACCAGCUGAAUGCGCUGAGUAAAAAGACAUCUACAGGAGGAAGCUGAAGGCCAAACUCCAGCAAAACAACGUGAGGGAUGUGUGGACUGGGAUGAAGCACAUCACAGGAUGUAAAGGGAGACAAAGGCAACCAUCAGGCAGCCUGGAGAGAGCCAACGAGCUGAACACUUUCUUUAACUGGUUCAGCUCACAGCCGUCUGUCUCCCUCAUGCAUCCAGUCUCCCACACUCCCUCACCACAUCAACCUCUCCCCCCUGCGGUGAGCAAUCCUGUGCAGCACCUCUCCUCCCCCCUCCCCCUCAACCUCCCUCUUCACUGGAUAUAUCAGCACCCAGUUACCGCCCCAUUUCACUUCUCAACGUUGACAUUAAAAUGAUCACCAAGGCACUUUCCCACCGAUUAGAAAAAAUUAUUCCAUCCAUUAUUCACCCGGAUCAAACAGGAUUUAUUAAAGGAAGAAACUCAUCCAAUAACACACGCAGACUAUUCAAUAUAAUGCACCACUCAACCACACAUAACCAUAAUUCAAUCAUAGCCACCUUGGAUGCAGAAAAAACCUUUGACAGAGUUAACUGGUCAUUCCUCAUCAACACCCUACACAGUUUCGGCUUUGGGGAAUCAUUUAUUAACUGGAUUAGAACACUUUACACCUCACCUACAGCCACAGUUAUUACUAACGGACAAACCUCACAAAGCUUCACUCUUCACAGGGGGACCAGGCAAGGUUGCCCACUCUCUCCCUCUUUGUUCACCAUUUUCAUUGAACCCCUAGCAGCAGCCAUCCGUCAGAACCCCCUCAUUACAGGAAUCCAAACCCCCAACAUGCAUCAUAAAAUCAGCCUCUAUGCAGAUGACAUUUUACUUUUUAUGGAGAAUCCAGAAUCAUCACUACAAGAAGUAAUCAGAGUCAUCAAAUCCUUCUCCCUUCUCUCUGACUACUCAAUAAACUGGAACAAACUCCAUACUUCCAUUAAACACCAACAGUCUGGCUGUGGCAGCCCUUACAACACCCAUCCCCUUCUGCACAAGUCACAUCACCAACUUAGGCAUCCACAUUUCGCCCAGGCUGUCAGAGUUGAUCAACCUGAAUUUCACUCCACUCCUAAAAACAAUCAAUGACGAUCUCCAACGAUGGAUGAACCUCCCAUUAUCUAUUAUAGGCAGAAUAGCAACAGUUAAAAUGACAAUCUUCCCCAAAAUCAGUUACCUUUGUUCAAUGAUUCCCACUCAUCCACCUCUCACCUGGUUUCAUUCCCUCGAUUCAUCUAUCAACAAAUUUUACUGGAAAAAUACCCCCCCCCCCCCGAAUCAAACUGGCCACUCUUCAAAAAUCAAAAAGUUUAGGCGGACUCAAUGCUCCAAAUUUUCAUUAUUACUCACUAGCAAAUCAACUUCAAUACAUCUACAAAUGGACCCACCCCACCCAGUCAGAUAGCACUUGGUUAGACGUAGAACAAAUAGUUAGCAAAAACAUCCAUCUCUCAGACUUACCAUUCCUUAGUCAAACUAUCAAAAAACACCCUUGUUUCUAAAACCCCACAAUAUCAUCGGCCCUGACAGCCUGGUGGAAAUUCUACAGCAUUACUAACUCCACUUUGGCACCGUCGCUUUUCACCCCGAUCUGGCACAACUUGGACUUCAUCAGCAAUAAACAAUCACUAUACUUCAGCACCUGGGUAGAGAAAGGGAUUACUCGCCUCAAACAUAUCUUCAACAAUAACACCCUGGUCCCAUUCUCUCUCCUGGUCCAGAAGUUUGGCAUCAGGAGCCAUCAAUUCUUACAAUAUCUUCAGGUUUCAUCAUCUAUCCAAUCAACAAUGAAAAACAAGAAUAUAAACUUAGACCUCCCCCUGUUACCCUCUAAAUUCAUUAACAUCCCUUCCUCAAAUAAACUUCUAUCUAAAAUAUACAAAUCAUUAUCACAGGCCGAUUCAACACCCUCCAUACCUUCAGAAAAAUGGGAAACUGACCUCUCCAUUGCUCCUGAUGCUGACUUCUGGCCCCAAAUCUGCAAGAACAUUUUCUCCAUGACAAUUUACAACUCAUACAAUACAAAAUCCUUCAUAGAACUCAUCUGACUGGACACAAAAUGCAAAAAAUGGGCUUCUCAUCAUCUGGAAACUGUUCACACUGCUCACUAAACAGCACUGAUACCUAUAUUCAUGCAACCUGGCACUGCACACCUGUUCACCACUUCUGGAGAAACAUUACAGAAACUUUAUCCCAGAUCAUGGGCUGCCACAUCCCACUUUCCCCUUCCCUCUGUUUAUUAGGAGACCUAUCUACAUUAAAACUUGACAAAAUACACACACGUUCACUUCUAGUGGUGCUGACCGUCGCCAGGAAAACUAUCCUCAUGAACUGGAAGUCUCGGAACUCCAUACACAUCAUACACUGGAAAAACCUGCUCACAGACUACAUCUCCCUAGAAAAAACUCCUCUGACAAUAAUCAUAACUCUACCUGGUUAUCAUUCAUCACUUUUCUACAAUCAUAAUCUGCCACAAACCAGUCACAACAUCAUCCAUCUCAGUUCUCUGACACUUUCAUUCCCAAUUUUUUAUUUUUAUUUUUAUUUUUUUUAUUUAUCUAUUUAUUAUUAUUAUUAUUUUUUUGUUUUUUACUACAUAUUACUACAAAUAUUAUGAUGAAUAUUAUUGUCAUUGUCAUUUUCUAUUAUUAUUUAUACUUAUUUAUUUAUACUUACAUUUACAGUUAUUAUUUUCUGCUCGGGUCCCUGCUGGGUCGCGCCUGUUAAGCCAUGACCUGUGAUCUCCUUGCCCUCCCGGCCUCCCCCCUCCCCC
This 8969-nucleotide long non-coding RNA is filed under the name Xyrichtys novacula (pearly razorfish). The record is from RNAcentral. Lineage: Eukaryota; Metazoa; Chordata; Actinopteri; Labriformes; Labridae.